Long non-coding RNA from Thunnus maccoyii (southern bluefin tuna), 1007 nucleotides. RefSeq lists it as uncharacterized. Lineage: Eukaryota; Metazoa; Chordata; Actinopteri; Scombriformes; Scombridae. The transcript is spliced from 6 exons. The record is from RefSeq and is a predicted model, not a curated record.
UUGAGUUGUUGAAAAUUGCCACCAAGACCUACUAGAAUCAGUCAAAUUAACAAUAAGAACAUAUGAAAAAUAAAAAAAGCUAAAGUUAUACAGUAUAUUGACACUGUAUUUCGAAGAAUUAAGGGUUAUCCCAGUCCCUUAAAUAAAGAAGUCCCGCCCCCUCUGCUAGCUAAUUCCUGCUGUCUUGUUUGACAUUCUCCAAAAACCAGAUUACAGCCUCCUCUAAAGCUAAACACUAACGACUGGUGGAAAAAGUCAAGAGGUAAGAGGGUCUUCUUGCGAUGAGUUGUUUCCAAUAUGUUCAGCAUCCAGCUCGCUGGGAACGGCAAAUGGCGUGUGGAGUGAUGAUUGAGGGGAAAUAUCAAAAACCCUCUCCCCCCCCGAUGCAGAGCUGAGACAUUAACAGCUCAAAGUUGUUGGAACAGCUUGAUCAGCCACGCCAGGCUGACAGAGGGGGCAGCCCUCUGUGUCAGGGAUCCUGAGGUGGCAGAGGCCGACCCUGGUGCAGGGAUGGACUACUCAGGAUCUUGUCUGGACUUCCAAGAAUCGACCAACCCAAGAUCACUAGCAGUCCUCCAGCCCCGGCCCCCGUCCUGAUGAUGUAAUUAUUUCCCAGCGGCACCUGGGAGCCACGGCCGCCAUUCGGAGGCAUCGCUCACAGCCAAUCUCUUAGAGGUUCAGUUUGGGGAGAGGAUGUGGGGAACAGCUGGGCCCCAUCACUUCUCAUUGCAGGCCUGGGAGAGACGUAGCUGACAGAGUGAUGCACAGAGCCUGUCCUUGCUAAUGACUGCGCCAUUCUCCAUCAUUAUCACCAUCAUUAGGAAAUUAGGGGGACAGAAGCAGACCCGUGAAGCUCGAUCAGCGAUGUUGCGCUCUCUCGUCCAAAAGUUUCCAGAAGAGCAGACGAAGAAAGAAGUCGGGAGGCUGGAUCAGCUGGCCUGUGAUCUCCUGUGCGAGCCAAGCUGUCUGAUUGGCUGGAGGGCUGGAGGGCCAUCUUGCCUCCCUGG